RNAcentral lists this long non-coding RNA (667 nucleotides) under Rattus norvegicus (Norway rat). Its description in RNAcentral is "long non-coding RNA NONRATT020905". The record is from RNAcentral. Lineage: Eukaryota; Metazoa; Chordata; Mammalia; Rodentia; Muridae.
CAGUAAGCUGGCCAAUAGAACAGACCCUUGUGGUCCCUGUUACCUCCCGACUGCUUCCCAGGGGUUCAUGAUGGAGAGUAGAAGGAAGUAAAGGAAGACAGUGGGGUGCCUCCCCACCCCCAGCUAUGCAAGGUUUGCUGCACUAGAGCCCUGUCCCACCCAGGGCAGGCUGUCAUUACCCUUAAACUAGAUACUGGUGUCCUGUCAGGAUUUUGAUGCUCUUUCCCUGGCUCUCCCGGUGUAGAUUUGUGACACAAACUACGUCCAGUACCCAAACUACUGUUCCUUCAAAAGCCAACAGUGCCUGUUGAAAAACCAGAACAGAAAGAUGUCCCGCAUGAAGUGCAUGCUGAACGAGAAGUACCACGUGCUGAGCCCGGCUAAAGGCGAGGAGGUUAUACUCCGGUGGAGCCAAGAGUUUAACACUUUGACUCUAGGCCAGUUUGGAUGAGCUGAGGUCUGUGCUGUCCCCACCCCAGCCCAGCCUUUCCACAUUCUCCAUCGCUCUCAGACUACAUCUGUCAGUUGGCUUCCAGGUGCCUCUCAGGGGCCUCCCACCUGGCCCCUACGUGCAUUUUCUUUGGGUUGGAAGAACAGUCCCAGAGAGGUGCAUGAUGGGAACUCCGCACGCCUUGAAGAAUACCUUCAAAUAAAAUGUUUGUCUUCA